Molecule: long non-coding RNA, 355 nt
Organism: Periophthalmus magnuspinnatus
Lineage: Eukaryota; Metazoa; Chordata; Actinopteri; Gobiiformes; Gobiidae
Exons: 4
Source: RefSeq, a predicted model, not a curated record
UCCCGACACAUGCUACUUCACCUGACCGGACACCUGCCACUUCACCUGUCCCAACUCCUGUCACUACAGCUGUGGAAGGAACAUCAACUUUAAUCACGACUCUCACAACUAGUCUGGCAAAUGCAACAGAUGUCCUCUCAACAACAGUCAGUCCUUCUGCAGAGAUGAAAUCAACUUUGACCACAAACGUAGCAACAAGUCCCAGUGUCUCUAUGCUGUAUUUUGAGGUCCAGGUCAAUGUGUCCAUAACGGGAGUCUGUGACCCUGAACAGACCAUCUCAUAUUGGCUCAACUCCAGUUUGCCAGAUGACACAAUGUCAGUCCUGGAUCUACAACUGCUCUCCAAAUCUACAAA